Molecule: ribosomal RNA, 245 nt
Filed under: uncultured bacterium
Lineage: Bacteria
Description: partial 16S ribosomal RNA
Rfam family: Bacterial small subunit ribosomal RNA
Source: RNAcentral
UACGGGGGGUGCAAGCGUUGUUCGGAUUUAUUGGGCGUAAAGCGCGUGUAGGCGGUUUGUUAAGUCUGAUGUGAAAGCCCUGGGCUCAACCCAGGAAGUGCAUUGGAUACUGGCAGACUUGAAUACGGGAGAGGGUAGUGGAAUUCCUGGUGUAGGAGUGAAAUCCGUAGAUAUCAGGAGGAACACCGGUGGCGAAGGCGGCUGCCUGGACCGAUAUUGACGCUGAGACGCGAAAGCGUGGGUAG